GAGGAAAGUCCGGGCUCUAUUUAUAGUAAUGUAGCUGUAUAAUAUGCAGUGUAGGUAACUAUGAGGAUCGUGCCACAGAAAUAUACCGCCUAUUUAGGUAAGGGUGCAAUGGUUCGUUAAGAGCGUACCAGAGAUAUUUUUAAGAUAUUUGCUAGGUAAACCCCGUGUUAGAGCAAAGUAAUCUGUAUAUUACGAAAAAAUCUAUAAGUUUUGUAUAUAAUUAUUUUUUUAUUAUAUAGAAUAAUUUUUUAUUACUGAUUAAUUUAUAUACUGCACUAAGUAAUUUUUUACUUUAGAUUAAUAAUUACCCUAUUCUAUAUAUUAAUUAUAUAGAAAAGAACAAAACCCGGCUUAU
This 355-nucleotide RNase P RNA is filed under the name Dasyclonium flaccidum. Its description in RNAcentral is "rnpB". The stretch from base 2 to 173 matches the Rfam family "Bacterial RNase P class A", at positions 44 to 222 of the family's 367-position model. The record is from RNAcentral. Lineage: Eukaryota; Rhodophyta; Florideophyceae; Ceramiales; Rhodomelaceae.